RNAcentral lists this ribosomal RNA (300 nucleotides) under uncultured Bellilinea sp. Its description in RNAcentral is "partial 16S ribosomal RNA". The stretch from base 52 to 300 matches the Rfam family "Bacterial small subunit ribosomal RNA", at positions 547 to 795 of the family's 1533-position model. Lineage: Bacteria; Bacillati; Chloroflexota; Anaerolineae; Anaerolineales; Anaerolineaceae. The record is from RNAcentral.
GCUACAGUCGGUCCAUGGGCGGGGGUAAUUGGGGGGGUGGAAGGGUUAAGCGGAAGUACUGGGCGGAAAGCGCACGCAGGCGGUCUGUUAAGUCAGAAGUGAAAUCCCCGGGCUCAACCGGGGAACUGGAUUUGAAACUGGCAGGCUUGAGUCUUGUAGAGGGGGGUAGAAUUCCAGGGGGAGCGGUGAAAUGCGUAGAGAUCUGGAGGAAUACCGGUGGCGAAGGCGGCCCCCUGGACAAAGACUGACGCUCAGGUGCGAAAGCGUGGGGAGCAAACAGGAUUAGAUACCCUGGUAGUC